AUGGUUUCCCAAAAUUUUCCGCACUCAAUUUUGAAGGUCUUUCUAGGGAUCAAAUUUGGUUUUGCCAUGUGAACAUUUUAAUUAAUUUUAAUUAAUGUUCAAAAAUUUCAAACGCUUCUUGGUGGAAUGAGCCUAAACUGCCAACUAGUUUUCCAAAAAAUUAAAAAAUUUUAAAAAAAUUCAAAAAAAUAAAAUAAAAUAAUUUGCUCCAUUGUGGCACGAGCUUAAACUGCCAACCAACUUUCCAAAAAAUACUCCUCGGUGGCAUGAGCCUAAACUACCAACCAACUUUCCAGAAAAUUUCAAAAAGCUCAAAAAAAUAAAAACGCUCCUCCGUCGUAUGAGCCUAAAUUGCCAACCGAUUUCAAAAUCUUUUGCUCCUCUAUGGCAUGAGUCUAAACUGCCAAGCAAUUUUAGAUAGGUUUUUUGCUCCACGGUUGCAUGAGCCUAAACUGCCAACCAGGAUUCAGAUCGUCAAACUUGUGCCACGUUAAAAAAUAAAUCUAAUACAUCAAACUCGUGUGACUUUAAAAACCCGAGCUAAAACGUCAAACUCGUGCGACGUUAAAGAGUCGAGACAGGAAAAACAUCAAACUCAUACGACAUUAAAGAGCCGAGAUAGGAAAAAACGUCAAACUCGUGAGACGUUAAAGAGCUAAGACAGGUAACGUCUAGUGCCGUAUGGCAUAAAAUUUCAGAUGUGUUUAGGGCACAACCACCCUGUUCAAUGUGUUCAGGGCACAACCACCCUGUUCAUGUGUUCAGGGCACAACCACCCUGUUCACACGUAUAACCUCGUAUGAUGCUAAAGGUCGGGUAUAUCCAGUUCAACGUCAAACUCGUGCGAUGUAAAAGAGCCGAGGCAGGUAAAGUCUAGCCUCGUACGACGUAAAAUUUUGGAUGUGUUCAGGGCACAACCACCCAGCUCAAUGUGUUCCGGGCAUAAACACCCUGUUCACAGGUCUAGCCCCGUAUGGCGUAAAAUUUUCGGAUGCAUUCAGGGCACAACCACCAUCUUCAAUGUUGUUUAGGGCACAACCACCCUGUUCAACGUGUUCAAGGCACAACCACCUUGUUCAAACGUCUAUCCUUGUACGAAGUAAAAGGGUCAGGUGUAUGGUCCAUAGUUGCACGACCCUAAACUGCUUAGAGGGCUCAAUAGUUGCUGGAGUCAAAACUGCUAACCUGCUUUGUUUUUCAAAAUAUCUUUCUCUCUUCAAAAUUUUCAUUAUGGGUCUAUGAUUUCAAAAACUUUAGUUUCUUUGUUAAAAUCAUAACCUGUCCCUGCUCCGGUUCUAUUUCAAAUCUCCUCCUAGUUUCAAAAUUUCUAAAACAUUUUCUAAAAUGAAGGACCUUGGACACUCGUAUAUGAUGAAUACCGUGUUUGCCGUGUUUACCGUGUUGUUGCCUCAUCUCUCUCUUCGGAUUUAGCCAGACAAUUCUCUUCCUAUAGAAAGCUUUUCCUAUAGACAGCCUUAGGAAAACCAUAAGAAAAUCAAAGAAAAUGAAAGGAUUAAAAAUUUCAAAAGGUAAAACCCUUAAAUUUAAGUGACAUGGCUAUAAAAUCUACCUCGAGUUUCAAGCUUGCGAACUCGCAGCCGAAAACCCUCGGAUGAAAAUGCCUUAGGUGGGUAAGCUUGGGAGCGCAAUGACUUAGAGGGAUAGUUGAUGUGCCUUCUGCCCCAUGACGUCAACACAAAAUUUAAAAUGUCUACUUUAUCUUUGAAUUUCGCCUUCCCCUCGAAGGACAGGGAACGCCAAAGUGUCUACUUCUUUGCCACUCUGCUGUCCCACGAAGGACAUGGAGUGCCAAAGAGGGGCAACUAGAGACACCCCUUUUAAAUCUGGCAAAUUUUGUGGUUUUCUUGGAACUUUAGGAUCACAUUGACGUAGUGAACCCAAAAUCCAUAGGUCAUACAAAUUACCCUUGGACCCAGAACCAUUCUACCAGCCCAGAAACCCUGUUACACCCUGUUUGAGCCCUGAUUCUUGUAAAUUCCCUGUUUCAACAAAAACAUCAUUAAAAAGAGUAACAAAAUUCAUUUUGACCCAAAUUUUCUCCGAGAGCUUCAGAGAGGCUGAGGAACACAUCAGAGUGAAAAAACUCGAUUUUGACAAAAUUUGGUUUGUGCGGCACUACUUAUGCCGCCCAAAUCCGUGAACCUCCAAAACAUAUUUUGAUUGGGUGAAUACGUGGGUUGCAGGAGAUAUUCCCCCCAAGAUAAUUUCCCUAUUUUGAGGAUCUCUUGGGGACCAUUUUAAGGGGAGAUUGGAGAGAGAAAGAGAGGAGGAACUGAUGGAGAAAAAAAGAAGAAAAGAAAACGCAAAGAGAACACAGGAGAGAGGGAGAGAAACCUGAGAGAGAUGAAAAACUUGGCAGAAAGAAAAAGACAAUACAGAGAGAGAAAACCCUAGAAUUUAAGUGAGAAAACCUUAGCCUCCUGAGAGAGACCCAGAUCUAUCCUUAGGAUAAAACCCUAAUCCAAGAGAUUGGCUGGCUAAUAUCUGGAUCAGAGAGACAUGAGAGGAACCAGUUCUGAUACGGGUGAGCCCUCAAGGGCUCUAGAGUCCCGGGCCAUCCGGCCUAGUCAGAUACUCAUUCUCUUUUCAUUUCUUCCUUAUUUUAUUUUAUUUAUUUGUUUUGAUAUGAUUUUUAUUUGUUUUGAUUAAAAAAUAGCAUUUUAAAUUGCUUUAGAUCAUGCUUGCUUUGCCACAGAUCUUAUAGUAGAUCUGCUCUUUCUGGGCAGAUCUGAUCUCAGAUGAAUUCGAUUAUUCCCACUUUCUCUACCAUUUCGUUAUAUUUCAUAUUUAUCAAUUUAAAGUGUCUGAUUUGAGUGAUCUUCGAGGAUAGAUCACUUCAAUUUUGUGCUGUAAACAAUUCUAGGGACUUCAAAACAAUACCAGACCACCGCUGUUGGAUCCAAAACGUGGAAGAACCCCUAGGGACCAAAUUUGGGAUCAAUCGGACCUCUUAAGUACAUUCUGGGCCCAAAUUACCUCUAAAGGACAAAGUCGUAUGCUAUUACGGUGGGACCUCACCAAAAUCAGUCCCCAAUCAUGGAGAUCGAUAUCUUCACUCAUAGAGAUGACCUAUAAACACCCACACGGUGCUUGAUUGAAUUCGGAUUAAGCUCAAAUUUUGACCCAACAUAGGUCUCGACGACCCGGUCAUUUUGAUAAAUGGCACACAUCGUCACAUGACCUAGAAUCAAUAUUUUUCUAGAGAGAGAUGAGCAUGAAACCAUAAAAAAUAGAGCUUUUGAAGAAAAGGGCGUCUCGAACUUCGUGACGCAAUAAACUCAAGAACUGUACAUUGGAUCAUCGAAAGGAUAGGCCCGAUCGAACCGUAUCACUAAGGGCUACAAACUGGUAUAAGUGUUGCAUUCAAUCCAAGGUCAGAUAAACCAUGAAAUUCAAGGAAGAAGAAAAUAAAAGGCCGUCCGGUUGCCGGAAUCUCUUUUUCUGGUGUUCUCUCGAAAACGGAAAGUACUUCAAGCAAAGACUAAAAUGGAUAAAGUUGGUGCAAAACGACUGUGGAAGUCUCCUCUUUAAUUUUCAAUCAAAAUAAAAACUUGAAACACCAUAGAUGGCAUUACAGUGAUGGCCAAAAGCUCACGAUCUAGCCAAAUUUCCACCGCCUAAGAAAGAGUUUACCGCAAGAUGAUCAAAAGACGCCAAAAUCUUCAGAAUCAAACAAGCAUCAAGACUACGAUGAUCGAUCGUCUCAAAACACCGUCACAAGCAUCCGAAAAAGCUUCCAAGAUCUGGUAAUGGUAAAAGGCCCCUCAGUGAAGGAUGGUUUCGUCAUUGGCACAAAAAGUUUAAGGGGCAUUUUGGUUUUCAUUCUAUAAUUCGAGAUUUUAUUGUAAUUUUUUUUAAUUGUAAUUAGGUUCAGUUUUGUGCAUCCACCUCUACUUUGUGGAUGCUCUAUUGGGCAAUUGUAAAAAAG
Molecule: long non-coding RNA, 3949 nt
Filed under: Amborella trichopoda
Lineage: Eukaryota; Viridiplantae; Streptophyta; Magnoliopsida; Amborellales; Amborellaceae
Description: long non-coding RNA (ATRI_LNC003721)
Source: RNAcentral